This 459-nucleotide ribosomal RNA is filed under the name Triticum aestivum (bread wheat). Its description in RNAcentral is "partial small subunit ribosomal RNA". The record is from RNAcentral. Lineage: Eukaryota; Viridiplantae; Streptophyta; Magnoliopsida; Poales; Poaceae.
AUGGUCGCCGCCGUGGUGAACUACCCGCUCGUCGCGGGGCUCCUCGCCUUCGCGGUCGCGCAGUCCGCCAAGUUCUUCACCACCUGGUAUAAAGAGAAGCGUUGGGAUGCCAGGCAAUUUAUAGCUUCUGGAGGGAUGCCAUCAUCACAUUCAGCCACAGUGACAGCACUUGCAGUGUCUGUUGGUAUCCAAGAAGGCUUUCGUAGUGCUACAUUUGCAACUUCAGUGAUACUUGCAUGUGUGGUGAUGCAUGAUGCUUUUGGUGUUCGGUUGCAUGCUGGAAAACAGGCAGAGGUGUUGAACCAAAUUGUCUACGAGCUGCCUAUAGAGCAUCCACUGGCAGAGACAAAGCCAUUGCGUGAAAUUCUUGGACACACAGUCCCUCAGGUGGUGGCUGGUUGCAUCCUUGGAAUCCUCACGGCUGUGAUCAUGCUCUUAGCUCUGGGGAGUUACACUUAG